RNAcentral lists this ribosomal RNA (582 nucleotides) under uncultured bacterium. RNAcentral's name for it is "bacterial SSU rRNA". It matches the Rfam family "Bacterial small subunit ribosomal RNA", at positions 8 to 585 of the family's 1533-position model. The record is from RNAcentral.
AGAGUUUGAUCCUGGCUCAGGAUGAACGCUAGCGGCAGGCUUAACACAUGCAAGUCGAGGGGCAGCGCGGGUAGCAAUACCUGGCGGCGACCGGCAAACGGGUGCGGAACACGUACAGAACCUACCUUUGUCUGGGGCAUAGCCCGGAGAAAUCCGGAUUAACUCCCCAUAAUAUAGAUGAGUGGCAUCACUUGACUAUUAAAAAUUUAUUGGACAGAGAUGGCUGUGCGUCCCAUUAGCUAGUUGGUAGGGUAACGGCCUACCAAGGCAACGAUGGGUAGCUGGUGUGAGAGCACGACCAGCCACACGGGCACUGAGACACGGGCCCGACUCCUACGGGAGGCAGCAGUGAGGAAUAUUGGUCAAUGGACGCAAGUCUGAACCAGCCAUGCCGCGUGAAGGAUGAAGGCCUUCUGGGUUGUAAACUUCUUUUACCUGGGAAGAAAACUACGGUUUCUACCGUAGCCGACGGUACCAGAGGAAUAAGCACCGGCUAACUCCGUGCCAGCAGCCGCGGUAAUACGGAGGGUGCAAGCGUUAUCCGGAUUUACUGGGUUUAAAGGGUGUGUAGGCGGGCUUUUA